CGGUUGAUCCUGCCGGACCUGACUGCUAUCGGAUUGAUACUAAGCCAUGCGAGUCAUUGUAGUAAUACAAGGCAGACGGCUCAGUAACGCGUAGUCAACCUAACCUAUGGACGGGAAUAACCUCGGGAAACUGAGUAUAAUGCCCGAUAGAACAUUAUGCCUGGAAUGGUUUAUGUUCCAAAUGAUUUAUCGCCGUAGGAUGGGACUGCGGCCUAUCAGUUUGUUGGUGAGGUAAUGGCCCACCAAGACUAUUACAGGUACGGGCUCUGAGAGGAGUAGCCCGGAGAUGGGUACUGAGACACGGACCCAGGCCCUAUGGGGCGCAGCAGGCGAGAAAACUUUGCAAUGUGCGAAAGCACGACAAGGUUAAUCCGAGUGGUUUCUGCUAAAGGAACCUUUUGUUAGUCCUAGAAACACUAACGAAUAAGGGGUGGGCAAGUUCUGGUGUCAGCCGCCGCGGUAAAACCAGCACCUCAAGUGGUCAGGAUGAUUAUUGGGCCUAAAGCAUCCGUAGCCGGCUCUGUGAGUUUUCGGUUAAAUCUGUACGCUCAACGUACAGGCUGCCGGGAAUACUGCAGAGCUAGGGAGUGGGAGAGGUAGACGGUACUCAGUAGGAAGGGGUAAAAUCCUUUGAUCUAUUGAUGACCACCUGUGGCGAAGGCGGUCUACCAGAACACGUCCGACGGUGAGGGAUGAAAGC
RNAcentral lists this ribosomal RNA (700 nucleotides) under uncultured archaeon. Its description in RNAcentral is "bacterial SSU rRNA". It matches the Rfam family "Archaeal small subunit ribosomal RNA", at positions 5 to 711 of the family's 1478-position model. The record is from RNAcentral.